UUUUUGCUAUAAAAAAAAAAUUAAAUAAUUAUUUUACAAACGGCGCCCCAUAGUCAUAGAGGUCACAAUUUUGAUCCGAUUGUGAUGAAACUUGAAAAGCAUGUUUAUAACCCAAAUAUAUAUCUUGUUUCCUGUCGAUAUUUACGCAUAUCGGAAUGUAAAUUUCUGAAUUAUGGCCCCUGAUUGUAUGAAAAAUCGCACUUUUUGCUUGUGGUCCCUCUAGAGGUCACAAGUUUUAUACGCCCAAAUUUUCAUGUGGACGUAUAUAUUGUCGUCGCCCAUGUCCGUCCACAAUUGUUUGUGGACUCUCUACAGGUCACAAUUCUUAUCCGAUUUGCCCUUAAACAUCAUGGAUUGUUCGCAUGUCUGAUUGUCUGCCACAACAGCCUGUGUACGAAUACCAGCCACAUCAGAUUUGAGCAGCACCAUAAAUAACAACAUACAGUAUUGUAAAUCCAAUGGCCAUUGCUUUGGCCAUGGUGCCUACAGCAGGUGUCUUCUACAUUUGAGACUGGUUUAGAUGUAUGUCACACUCAAGGUUUACUUUUUUUUUUAUUGAUUGGUAACUAAUUUCUGGUUGGAGGGCCACUGAAGGGAUGUUCGCUAGAAAUAAAGAGGCAUAUUAUUUCUAUUUCCAGUUGAAACCGGGAGGAGGUCUCCCUUCUUAUUCAACCACAUAUAUUUUUUUUUGUUUUUAUUAUUAUUUUCUUACUUUUUUUAUUGCAUAUUUAUUCUCAUCUUUCUAUCAUUUCAGGUGUCAGGUUACUGUGCAAGAGUGGAAUGAUUGACCUCAACACAAGAAUUAAGGCAAAAGGGAAUCAACUUUAUUUGAGGUCAGAUAAAUAACUGGUGGAACCGUUUCAUGUGUUAUCCCACCCCGGCACACAACAGAAUGAGGGCGGCACUUUUAGCAGUCACCAUCGUAACACAUGAUAGUGGACUCUAGGACUUUUGGACUAACUUGGUUAGAAAGAGUCUGCAUGCCACUCCGAUAGGGCGGUGGAAUAUCCAAAUCUGUCAACAGCAGCCGAGCUCUGGUGUUUCCAACUGGCAUGUCUAACAGUCCAGAUUGUAGGUCAGAUUAUUUCCCAGUUGAAAUCUCUUUAUACAACUUGUAGACAGGUCUACAUCUCAAAACCCGAUGACUUCCUGGACUGGCUUUAGUAGAAAGAUGAUGCAUACAUAUUAAUUUCAUCCCCGAUCUCUGUGACAGCUGUGGAAGUUGAGGGCAAAACAUAAUCGGUUUGGGUUCCAGCCAAGGACCCCUGUAAAUGUUGCUGUUUAGUGUUGACUUCAUUUCCGAGUUUGAAAAAAGACAGCCUUGCGUUUAUUAUGGCCUCUCAUAUUGGAAGAUAAAAUAAAUGGCUUGAAUGUUGACUGUUGUGCAUAUCUCUGGGUCAGGAAAGUUGUAGGCACCAUCACCAUUGUAAAUCAUUUGACAGACCAGAAUGAAGAGUGAGAACUAUGAUUGGUCAGCCAUGUAUCAGAUUCCAUACUAGGGGGCGUCAAGAUCAUAAAACUGUUGUAGUAUUACAUAAUCAGAUUAUAAACUGAACUUAAUUGCCCUAUGUAAAUACAGCUAUGUAGAAGACAUUUUAAAAUUUAUAGGCAUGUUUCACCAUCUAAGUUUUGACCACAAUUUGGCACUUGAAACUGCGUUAAUGGAGAAAAACUAUGUGCUUUUCGACAAAAAUGUUAAAAAAAAUCUAAUAUAAUUACAUGAUAAUUACUGUUUUAAAGGAUUUUCUUGUUUGAUUUAUAUUGAUUUUUUGUUAUCUUUUUACAGAAUGCAUUUAUGUUCAAAAAAAAAAUGUUCUGUGGAAAUCCAAAUUCAUGUGCUUUUAAAUUUCUUUCUGAAAAUUCGCAGUUUGCUGCUGUAUUAUAGUGUUUGGAGAAUGCUGCACUAUUGGUCUGAAAAUGCAUGGAUUUUCAUAAUCUUUGGCCAGGGCAUUGCAUAUAUGUUUGUUUAUUAGAAUACAACAGAUUUGUUCAAACAGCAAGAACAUGUGAGGUAUAUAGGACUAAGACUAGUAAUUAUUUCCCCUUAUUUCAUGAUGGAUGAAUGUAGUGCGAGUUAUAGACAAUUUUUCCCUUAAUUUUUAUACGUCCACGGCCACAAUUCUUACUCGAUUUUCUUCAAACUUUAUAUACUUAUUCCUUAUACCCUAAGGAAGAUCAAGAUUGUUUUUGGUGCAUGCCCAUUUUUUGUAUUUGUUUGUUUGUCGUCUACAGACUGCA
Molecule: long non-coding RNA, 2238 nt
Organism: Patella vulgata (common limpet)
Lineage: Eukaryota; Metazoa; Mollusca; Gastropoda; Patellidae
Exons: 4
Source: RefSeq, a predicted model, not a curated record